AUGAAGAAAUCCUUGAGAGUUUUACUAGUGAUCCUGUGGCUUCAGUUAGGCUGCGUGAGGAGCCAACAAAAGGAGGUGGAGCAGAAUCCUGAAUCCCUCUCAGUGUUCCAGAGGGAGCCACUGCCCCUCUCAGCACUACUUACAGUGACCGUGCUUCUCAGUCCUUCCUGUGGUACAGGCAGUAUUGUGGGAAAGGCCCUGAGGUGCUGAUGUCCGCAUACUCCAAUGGUGACAAAGAAGAAGGAAGAUUUACAGUGCAGCUCAAUAAAGCCAGCCAAUAUGUCUCCCUGCUCAUCAGAGACUUCCAGCCCAGUGACUCAGCCACCUAUCUCUGUGCAGAAACCUGCCAUCUGUACCCAAAACUGCUGGGGCCCCAGGAGUGCCUGGUGUAG
Galeopterus variegatus (Sunda flying lemur) is the source of this 392-nucleotide RNA transcript. It is a transcript of the gene named T-cell receptor alpha chain V region 2B4-like, with no coding region annotated. The record is from RefSeq and is a predicted model, not a curated record. NCBI's taxonomy places the organism in Eukaryota, Metazoa, Chordata, Mammalia, Dermoptera, Cynocephalidae. The transcript is spliced from 2 exons.